GCCCUUAGAGUUUGAUCAUGGCUCAGAACGAACGCUGGCGGCGCGUUUUAAGCAUGCAAGUCGAGCGGUAGACAUCCUUCGGGGUGUUGAGAGCGGCGAACGGGUGAGUAACACGUAGGUGAUCUGUCCUGAGGUUGGGGAUAGCCUGUGGAAACACAGGGUAAUACCGAAUACGUCCUGGCUGCUAUGGCAGCGAGGGCAAAGGCCCUUCGGGGUCGCCAUGGGGUGAGCCUGCGGCUCAUUAGCUAGUUGGUAGGGUAAAGGCCUACCAAGGCGACGAUGAGUAGCCGGCCUGAGAGGGUGAACGGCCACACUGGGACUGAGAUACGGCCCAGACUCCUACGGGAGGCAGCAGCUAAGAAUCUUCCGCAAUGGGCGAAAGCCUGACGGAGCGACGCCGCGUGGGUGAUGAAGGCCUAACGGUUGUAAAGCCCUUUUCUGUGUGAGGAAUAAUGCUGGGAGGCAAUGCCUGGCAGAUGACGGUAGCACAGGAAUAAGCCCCGGCCAAUUACGUGCCAGCAGCCGCGGUAACACGUAUGGGGCGAGCGUUGUUCGGAAUUAUUGGGCGUAAAGGGCGCGCAGGCGGCCACGUAAGCCUGGUGUGUAAGACCGCAGCUCAACUGCGGGAACGCGCUGGGAACUGUGUGGCUGGAGUUCAGGAGGGGAAGUUGGAAUUCCUGGUGUA
Molecule: ribosomal RNA, 685 nt
Filed under: uncultured spirochete
Lineage: Bacteria; Pseudomonadati; Spirochaetota; Spirochaetia; Spirochaetales
Description: bacterial SSU rRNA
Rfam family: Bacterial small subunit ribosomal RNA
Source: RNAcentral